Molecule: long non-coding RNA, 5274 nt
Filed under: Homo sapiens (human)
Lineage: Eukaryota; Metazoa; Chordata; Mammalia; Primates; Hominidae
Description: HSALNT0156656
Source: RNAcentral
CUUACAUUCAUUUUAUUUGAGUUCCUUCUUCAGGAAAGAACCCCCAGACCUCUCAAAAAGUAUCAAAGAACUGAAACUCACCAGGUAACCACCUCCAGACAAUGAGACCAGACCCCUUAUUCAUUCUGAUUGCUUCUUUCCCUUUCUGAGUUCCUGUUGUCCUAUACACGGUUACGUUUCUUCCUUGCUAGAUAAACCCCUAGUUUUAGUCAGUCAGGGAGAUGGAUUUGAGACAGAGCUCCCCUCUCCUCGGCUGCAACACCCAGUUACAGCUUUCUUCCUCAGCAAUACUUGUCAUCUCAGUGAUUGGCUUUCUGUGCAGAGAGCCGCAGGAUCUAGAUGUUUCCGUAACAGAUAUAUGGGGCACGGAGGAUUCUUAGGGCAGUGUUUCCGUAACAGAUAUAUGGGGCACGGAGGAUUCUUAGGGCAGUGAAACAAUUCUGUAUGAUGCAAAAACGGUGGGGACAAGUCAUUAUACAUUUGUCCAAACCCACAGAAUGUACGACACCAGGAGUGAAUUCCAUUCAAUUCCACUUAAUUUUUCUGGAAACCCAAAACUGCUUUUUUUUUUUUUUUUUUUUUUUUUUUUUUUGGAGACAGAGUCUCACUCUGUCACCCAGGCUGGAGUACAGUGGCACGAUCUUGGCUCACUGCUGCAACCUCUGACUUCCAGGUUCAGGUGAUUCUCCUGCUUCCACCACCAGAGUCCUGCCUCCACCACCAGAGUAGCUGGGAUUACAGGUAUGCGUCUCCACGCCCGGCUAAUUUUUCUGUUUUAGUAGAGAUGAGAUUUCACCAUGUUGGCCAGGCUGGUCUCGAACUCCUGGCCUCAAGUAUUUUGCCCGUCUCAGCCUUCCAAAGUGCUGGGAUUACAGGCAUGAGCCACCACGCCCCGCCAUCAAAAUUGCUUUUUAAAAGUGUGUUAAAUUCAAAAAAAGAAGCUAGAGGAAAGAGGGCAGAGGGUGGCAUUCAGGCAGCAGAAGGGCUGUCCUCAUGGUCCUUGUGGUGAGGGGAUGACCUCCUGCUGAAGGCCAGUCCACUGAGCUGGCACCCACAGAGGGGGACCUGGACUGUUUGCAGCUGAACAGCCUGUAGCCAGGGCUAUCAGAAGGCAGGGAGACCUGGAGUGCAUUGACAGUCACCACACAGGUUUCCAGGAACCUUCCCUCCCUUCCCUGAGUCAGCAUUCAUGCAUACAUUCCUUCCCUUAUUCAUUCAAAAUGUUUCUGGCCAGCCUACCAGGCACCCAGCACAUCAGACCUCUGAUCAUUUGCUCAUAGACUCAUUCAUUCAUUCACUUAAUCACUGUCUCUGUCUAGGCAGAAAGCAAACAUCUAGUCCUGCCAGCCCUAGACAGAAUGAUUUCAAACCCUAAUUAGUACUGUGGGGCUUAAUGAGGUUUCCUGGGAUUCUCAUUAUCAGGGAAAUCAUUUCACAAAAGCUGUCCAUGAUACAGUGGGCAGGGGCACCUCAUGCCAGUAAGGAGCCUCUUCCUGAGAUGAGCAACCGAGGAAACACCAAUUAAGCAAGGAAGCUGUGGAAGGGGAUGCCCCGGGCUUCCCAGAGUGCAGAGCAUGGAUGCUUAGCUGAGGGGUGGGGCUGGAACCUGGCUGCCAAAGCAGUUCUGCCAGCAGGAGCAGGGAUGGCCAGGCAGCAGCACAGGUCACUGCCCCGCAUGGUCAACAUGCAUUGCGGAUUUUAGCUUGCGUUUACGGAUGGCUUCUAGCUACAAAAGACACAGUGGCGCUCAGUUGCUCACCUGUGUAUUUUAAGUAACUAAUUCCUAUUCACACACUCAUUCAUUUAGCCAUUCAUGCAGGUUUCAGAUGUUUAAUGAGCAUCUACUAUGUGCCAAGCAGCUUCAUAAUAAACACACACUUAUUCAUAAAUCCAUGCAUCUGUAGACUUCAGAUGUUCAAAUGUUCAUAGAUGGCUUGGGGCUUGCAGGGACAGAUCUUCCAGUGUCACCAGGAGCCUCUGGGAUAGGCGGGAAACGCUUCCUACAGGGGGUGGGGCGGGGGGCGCAUUUGAGCUCCAUGUGGGGAAGGCCCAGGGCAACUCUAAGCUGAGUGCAGAGUCCCAGGUCCCGAAAAUAGUGAGGCUUCCAGGUCACGAGGUUACACCAGCAUCCAUGACGUCAGCAGGCCAGCGGCGGGCCCUUAGCCAUGGAGGUUCAGAUCGUGUGGGUUGUGGGUCCCACGGUCCCAGAGUCAGCCGGGCGCCCAUUGGCUUGGCCUCAGGAUGCCCAGGGACAUGCCUGGUGCAGCUGGGGCAGCAGGAGCUCACUCUACCAUGAAAUAUUCAUGGCUGCUGGCAAAGCCCGGCCCUAAAAUAUAGUUUGCAGAAGAAAAAGAGCCAUCAGGCAUUUAAUCAUUGUGUUAAUGAGGCUCUAUUUGGAAGCAAACUCCAUCUGACUGCGUCCUAGACAGCAAGAGUCAGGGCCCGGCCAACCUGUGUUGCCGGCCGCAGGGGCAGCCUCAUCCCUGAGACACCAGUGGGAGACACGCCCGGGCAAGGCACAGGCUUGGCUCGAGGCCAUGGCCAGCGGCCCUCCACUUCAGGGGAGCCCAUGAGAUUAUAACGGCAUCCUGAGGUUUGCCAAAAAGCAUCCUUUUAAGCAGAAAGCAAGCAACGGCCCUGCAUGGAGGCGCCACAGAUCCAGUCUGGCUGAGCAGGGGCUAGACCAACUCGUUUUCCCUAAGCAGCUUCCUCGGGGGAACCACUACCCCUCCUGCCUCCAGCUCCCCCUGCUGCCCAGGCCGCCGCCACAGACACUGCAAAUUACCAUCCAGACAAGAUUGCCGGGCCCUUUACAAAGCCUGAAGCAGCUCCUGCAGCCGCCGUCAGCGUCAGCAGCCGCCCUUCUUCGCCAGGUGUGCUGAUUGCAAGUCUCUCUGUGCGGCAGGAGGGGACGUCUCCAAAGGGCAGGCGUCCAGUGGCAGCACCGCAGGCCUGUGGGUGUUCCACCUGCAGAGGCCCCAGAGCAGCCCACGGAGGGCCACGGUGGUAUUAUUCCCAUUUCACAGGGAAGAAGCAAGGUCAGAGCUCUUCCCAGAUGGCUCAGUGAGUACAUCAUAGGGACAUGCCCCAGGCCACCAGGCCCCACGGCCUCCAGGGUCCUGGCAAGUCCCCCCAGGGACGGUGGGUGGAGAGGAGGGGUUGCUGGCAAAAAUCAGGGCCCCUGGGGAGCAAUCCUCUCCUGUGGGCUACAGGUCUUCAUCAGGGAUGGACUCAGUGGGUCCCAGGCUCCCUUCUCCAGCUCUGCCAAAUUCCAUCCCACCCGGGAGAUGUGGGGUCCGAGCAAAGGGACCCUUCUCCUCUGUGAACUUAGAGGUCCAUAAAGGACAACGGUCCAGGGCAGCGAGGCACGUCGGGGUGGACAGUGACGAGGGAGCCGCGGCCCAGCCAUCCUGCUGUGGGGGAGACGCCCCAAGGGAUGCACAGUGAGGCCUGGGCAGUGGGAGCUCCAGAAGCUACAGAGCAGGAGCCAUGGCUGCAUGUCCAGAGCCAGGCUUUCCAUUCCCACGCUGCCCACGAUGACGGAGCGGAGGACACAGAGGGAGGAGAAAACGCCCCCUGAGAAGGGGGACAGGGACGACAGAGCCUUGGAGGGAGUUCGGACAGGAGGGAGUGCCCACUGAGCGCAUUUCCUGAAACUUCCAGCUCCCCCUCCCCCGAGUCUUUCCCAGGGCCAAGGCCAUCCCUGGUCACGGAGCCCGCACCGCCUCCUCCCUGCAGCGCCAGGCCCAUGCUGCCCGCCCUUACCCGCUCCUCCCGUCCGGCGCUUGAGAGACGUGGUGUCUGGAAAGUCUGUCCCAUCCCAGGUGAGUCACAGCGAAGGGGCCAUGUUGGUGGGAGGCAGGGGAUCUGGGGAAAGUGGUACUGCCCCAGGAGGGGCUGCUGGGAGGGGAGGCAGGGGCGAGGCCCUGUGCAGAGGCUUCUCCCACCAGGGGAGUCCCAGAAGGGCACAGCCACGCCCUCCGAUGCCACGCCUGCGCCCACAGAAGCCCCGCCUUCCUCCCAGCUGCAGCUUCCACAACACCCACUGAGACCCACGCCAACGCGCCCCGCCCACGAGAACCCAGGUCACUCCCGCUUGGUGACUGCGGAAGAACUUUCCGGGUGUCACGUUGGUCCAGUCCCAGGCUGUCCUUCUCUCAACUAAGUUUCCAUCUGGAUUCCAGCCCACCCCCAUGCACGGGACGCAGGAGCUCUGGGUGCCCACCACUCCAUGAAGGGUGAUUGUGGUGAUGUAUUUGACCUUCUGGCAGCAAUUUAAUCAAAUCUGGAAAUCUGGGCCGGCACCUGGUUCGGGACUCAUCCCCUGUUGCUAGGAAACCCAACUCCUGCGGAUCCCACCCUGCUCCAUCCGGAGACAGUGGGAGAGACCCUCCUGCAGCUGAGGCCAGGGCUGGGGAAUGGCUGGAGAUGGAUGGGGACAGCAGUGGCCUUUGCACUGGCUGACUUCACAGCAGAACUCCCACGAGUGCCGAGAAACAGCGUGUAGGGGCGCUGCUCUCCCUACAAGCCCUUCCAGGCGCUGCAGGUCACUUAGAAGCUUGUGGCGCAUCCCUCGGUACCUCUCUCUGCCUGCGCACCAUAAACACCCAGACUACAGGGCCAUACCUGUCUCUUCUUGGUCUCCCCAGCAUCCUGCAGAUUAGUGGCCCUUCAGACACUUUGCACCCCAGUAGGGGGUGGGGAGGCUGGUGGAAAGUGAGCCCUGUGGCUCCUGGAGAAGCGGCGAGCAGCAGGCAGUGUUACACAAGGGUCCUCCCAACCCAGCUGACCUCACCAGGUCAUUCAUGCAAGAAUGCGGGGCCAAUGGGUUUCUGCCAGGCGUGCCAGGGCUGAGGGCACCCCUGGGUCCUCACAGCCCCCACUGUCCAGGGACAGCAGAGUCCUCCUUCCCUUUGCCAUUUCCAUGUUUCUCAUUUCAAUAAUUCUUGCAGCCCAUGUUGUGUAAAUAAAAUUAUUCUUCCCAAAAAAAUCGUUAGCAGAGCCCGACAUUAAUUCCCCUGCAAUCUGUGUAAUUAACUGCAUGUAAUAUAGGGCAUUAAAGGACCGGUUUGCUAAUCACCACUCCUCCGCUCCACGCACCUAAUUAAAUCUCCUUCCUGUUUAUCCACUUACAGGAUCCUCUGCAAAGAUACCAGGCACCAGGAACACUGUUGUAAUAAAUCUUUGCGUAAUUUUAGAGGGUGCAGUCCCACUCUGUUUCAUUCCCACUGCUGAGCCCCUCCUCCCUGCAGCCACGUCUCCCCAUGACUCGGC